RNAcentral lists this ribosomal RNA (256 nucleotides) under uncultured bacterium. Its description in RNAcentral is "partial 16S ribosomal RNA". It matches the Rfam family "Bacterial small subunit ribosomal RNA", at positions 524 to 776 of the family's 1533-position model. The record is from RNAcentral.
UACGAAGGGGGCUAGCGUUGCUCGGAAUCACUGGGCGUAAAGGGUGCGUAGGCGGGUCUUUUAAGUCAGGGGGUGAAAUCCUGGAGCUCAACUCCAGAACUGCCUUUGAUACUGAAGAUCUUGAGUUCGGGAGAGGUGAGUGGAACUGCGAGUGUAGAGGUGAAAUUCGUAGAUAUUCGCAAGAACACCAGUGGCGAAGGCGGCUCACUGGCCCGAUACUGACGCUGAGGCACGAAAGCGUGGGGGAGCGAACAGG